Molecule: ribosomal RNA, 398 nt
Filed under: uncultured bacterium
Lineage: Bacteria
Description: partial 16S ribosomal RNA
Rfam family: Bacterial small subunit ribosomal RNA
Source: RNAcentral
AUACGUAGGGUGCGAGCGUUGUCCGGAAUUACUGGGCGUAAAGAGCUCGUAGGUGGUUUGUCGCGUCGUCUGUGAAAUUCCGGGGCUUAACUCCGGGCGUGCAGGCGAUACGGGCAUAACUUGAGUACUGUAGGGGAGACUGGAAUUCCUGGUGUAGCGGUGAAAUGCGCAGAUAUCAGGAGGAACACCGGUGGCGAAGGCGGGUCUCUGGGCAGUAACUGACGCUGAGGAGCGAAAGCAUGGGUAGCGAACAGGAUUAGAUGCCUUGGUAGUCCAUGCCGUAAACGGUGGGCGCUAGGUGUAGGGGUCUUCCACGACUUCUGUGCCGUAGCUAACGCAUUAAGCGCCCCGCCUGGGGAGUACGGCCGCAAGGCUAAAACUCAAAUGAAUUGACGGGG